RNAcentral lists this ribosomal RNA (253 nucleotides) under uncultured bacterium. RNAcentral describes it as "partial 16S ribosomal RNA". It matches the Rfam family "Bacterial small subunit ribosomal RNA", at positions 524 to 776 of the family's 1533-position model. The record is from RNAcentral.
UACGUAGGGGGCUAGCGUUGUCCGGAAUCAUUGGGCGUAAAGAGCGUGUAGGCGGUCCGGUAAGUCCGCUGUGAAAGUCGGGGGCUCAACCCUCGAAUGCCGGUGGAUACUGUCGGGCUAGAGUGCGGAAGAGGCGAGUGGAAUUCCUGGUGUAGCGGUGAAAUGCGUAGAGAUCGGGAGGAACACCAGAGGCGAAGGCGGCGACCUGGACAGCUACUGACACUCAACUACGAAAGCGUGGGGAGCAAACAGG